Coregonus clupeaformis (lake whitefish) is the source of this 121-nucleotide long non-coding RNA. RefSeq lists it as uncharacterized. The transcript is spliced from 3 exons. Lineage: Eukaryota; Metazoa; Chordata; Actinopteri; Salmoniformes; Salmonidae. The record is from RefSeq and is a predicted model, not a curated record.
AUAGAAUCAGCCAUCAAACAGGUUGAGCACCCUAAACACGCAGGCCAGUCCAUCUACAGCCGGGCCGAGAGAGAGGGAGGCAGCUGGAAGAUUAUUAAGCCGUUGUACCUGAACAGUGGGG